RNAcentral lists this ribosomal RNA (116 nucleotides) under Klebsiella pneumoniae. Lineage: Bacteria; Pseudomonadati; Pseudomonadota; Gammaproteobacteria; Enterobacterales; Enterobacteriaceae. The record is from RNAcentral.
CAUGGCGGCACUAGCGCGGUGGUCCCACCUGACCCCAUGCCGAACUCAGAAGUGAAACGUGGUAUCGACGAGGCUAGUGUGGGGUCUCCCCAUGUGAGAGUAGGGAACUGCCAGGC